Molecule: ribosomal RNA, 292 nt
Filed under: uncultured prokaryote
Description: partial 16S ribosomal RNA
Rfam family: Bacterial small subunit ribosomal RNA
Source: RNAcentral
GUGUCAGCAGCCGCGGUAAUACGGAGGGGGCAAGCGUUGUUCGGAAUUACUGGGCGUAAAGGGCGCGUAGGCGGCCGGUCGCGUCAGGCGUGAAAGCCCCGGGCUCAACCUGGGAACUGCGCUUGAUACGGGCUGGCUUGAGAUCGGGAGAGGAGUGUGGAAUUCCCAGUGUAGAGGUGAAAUUCGUAGAUAUUGGGAAGAACACCAGUGGCGAAGGCGGCACUCUGGCCCGUAUCUGACGCUGAGGCGCGAAAGCGUGGGGAGCAAACAGGAUUAGAUACCCCCGUAGUCC